GGUUAUUUUAUCAUUGUGGACAUACAGUAAAGAAAAUAACAAACAGACAUACAAAUGGGUCUAUAAUUCUUGCAGUAUUCUUUGUUUUUCCUUCUUUGGGUAAGAUUGUUAUAAUAGCUUCUCCACAUGAUGGUGGAGCUAUUCCCUGAUUCAGAGUCCAGUUGAAGCAAGAUAGAAGAAGUGGCUUGAGUUCUUCUUUGAAAACUUUGUAACUUUGUAGGUGUGAUCACAUUGAUGCCACAAUGGACGACUGAUCAAUGCUCCACUACCUUUUUUUUUUUUUUUUUUACUUUGAUUUUUAUUAGGUUAUUUUAUCAUUGUGGACAUACAGUAAAGAAAAUAACAAACAGACAUACAUAUAAACAAACAGAGUCUGGAGUUUACAUAUCUUUCUCCAUUUAUCACAUUGCAGAAAAAAAAAGAAAACCUAUUAUGUUAUUUCAUUUGUGUCACUUCUGAAUGUUUUCCACUUCCUCCAUAGUCUGUCGUAUUUACCUCCCAUCAGUCUAAUGUUGAGUGUUAUUUUUUCCAUCUCUGAGAUAUCCUCUACAAUACUUGCAGUAUUCUUUGUUUUUUCCUUCUUUGGGUAAGAUUGUUAUAAUAGCUUCUCCCCAUGAUGGUGGAGCUAUUCCCUGAUUCAGAGUCCAGUUGAAGCAAGAUAGAAGAAGUGGCUUGAGUUCUUCUUUGAAAACUUUGUAACUUUGUAGGUGUGAUCACAUUGAUGCCACAAUGGACGACUGAUCAAUGCUCCACUACCAAAAGGAAGCCAAGCCCUGCCACCCUUUACAACAAAACAAGGUGUGAUCACAUUGAUGCCACAAUGGACGACUGAUCAAUGCUCCACUACCAAAAGGAAGCCAAGCCCUGCCACCCUUUACAACAAAACAAGGUGUGAUCACAUUGAUGCCACAAUGGACGACUGAUCAAUGCUCCACUACCAAAAGGAAGCCAAGCCCUGCCACCCUUUACAACAAAACAAGGUGUGAUCACAUUGAUGCCACAAUGGACGACUGAUCAAUGCUCCACUACCAAAAGGAAGCCAAGCCCUGCCACCCUUUACAACAAAACAAGGUGUGAUCACAGGGC
Astatotilapia calliptera (eastern happy) is the source of this 1086-nucleotide long non-coding RNA. Lineage: Eukaryota; Metazoa; Chordata; Actinopteri; Cichliformes; Cichlidae. The record is from Ensembl.